UUUUUUUUUUUUUUUUUUUGGUUCUUUUUUUCGGAGCUGGGGACCGAACCCAGGGCCUUGCGCUUCCUAGGUAAGCGCUCUACCACUGAGCUAAAUCCCCAUCCCUUUUCCUUCCCUUCUUUGUUAUUGUGAGGCAAGAUCUCAUGUAACCCAGGCUGGCCUCAAACUUAGUAUGUAGCCCAGUUAACUUCGAGCCCCUGAGCUUUAGCUUCUCAGAGCUGGAAUUAGAGCUAUAUGCUACCGCGGGCUGGCUCACAAUGGUUAAAAAUGAAACCACAGUGGGACUUCAGAAGGACAGAUAGGUCUAAAGAGAAUGAUUGUAAAGAUGAGAGGAAACUAAGCCAGGAGAGGAGCAGUGCUGGGGUGAGUCAUUAAAGACAACGUUGUGAUUCAAGGUAUCCAGGCAUAUUCUAAGUCUCUCUGAAAGUGUAGGUCUAGGAUAAAUAUCCUAAACUGAGCUUGGUCUGACAGGAUGUCCCCGGAAUAAGAGAAACCUGGUAGAAUUAUAUCCUAGAACUUCGAAGAUGAGAGAAAGAAUCUUGGCUACCCGUUAAGGACUGGUGGUGUUCAGGGCUAGGUUUUACCUGGCUCUCACUGGAAUAGGAAGCAGACAUAUCUCAGAGUGACAGGUGUAUGGUCUUACUGACAGACAGGUGAACCGGUGGUGACAGGCCCAUAGUGGCUGACUGCAAUUGGAGACAUGAGGACUAGAUCAAGUCUGGCCCAAGCAGCUUCAAGGGGCCUUUAUCUCUAGAUGCAGUCCCCCAAGAUGAUAUAAGGGGCAAUCCCAAGAGGAUGUCAGCCCCAUGGGGUUCUGCUCGUCCUACUAGCCAGGGAUUGUCCUGCUCUAGAGUGACAUGUUGAAUCUAGCAAGAGGUCUGCCUGAAGCAAGGACCUACUGUAAAGGGCUUUGAGGGACUGGGUGUGGUGGAGGAUUUUAAAAGUUCAGUUGGAAGAAGCGUGGGCCAAGUCUUGAAUCAAAUGAGAAACCUCUCAAGGAUUAGAUUAAUCUUCUCCAUCUUUCCAGAGAACAGAAGGUGCUGGGCCGCAUGGGGAUAAUACUUCAUUAAAGUGUUUCACAUUCUCUGUGUGGCACCGGAAGUUAAGCCAGACUGGAUAUUGAGAGUGAGGAAAGCCUGUAAUCCUAGCACUGCAGAGGCAGAGGCAGGAGGAUCACUACAAAUUGGAGGAGACUGCCCUGCCUCAGAAAAUUCAAAGAGGGUACUGGGGAGAGGAAGUACAGAAGAAGGAAGUAAAAGAAAGGUGGGUGCGGGGACAGAGUGAGGGAGGAGAAAUCAAGCAAAAACAGCCAGGCCAUUCUCACACAGUUGGGACUGAGGGAGCUCAAAACAAGAAAUCAUGUAUUUUCUGAGGACAGUGGUUAUAUCUCAGACCCACUCUGUGUUACUGAUGCUUCUAUCUAUCUGAUUCAGGUAUUUUCUAGAGCUAUUAGACGUUUGAGACAUUUACACGUGAUAUGUGUUAAAUUUACUCGCCAGUCUUCCUCCAGCAGGGUUCCCUCAUGCUGAAUAGGCCACAGAAGGCUUGAGGGUCUGGGAUCCUCAGGUUGACAACAUGAAGGACCAACUUUAGAAUCAGACCACAAGGUGGGGCUAGAGGGACGGCUCAGCGGUUAAGAGCAUUUGCUGCUCAGGCAGAGGACCCAGCUUUGGUUUCUAGCAUCCAUGAUCCAGAAGGUGGCUCACAACCAUCAGUUACUCCUGUUCCCGGGGGAGGGGAGGAUUCUAUCCCCCUACCUCUGACCUCUCAGGCAUCAUCAGACACGCAUACGAUAUGCAUACAUACAUAAAGGCAAAAUAGUCAUACACAAAAAAUGAACACACAUUAAGAGGGACAGAAGGGUUGGCAAGAUGAUCCAAUGGUAAAAGCGCUUUGUCACCAAGCCGGAUGACCUGACUUCCGUCCCCCGGUUCCACAAGGUUAAGGAGAGAACAGAGUCUUAGGAGUUGCGUGUCAUAGGCACAUGGGAUAAAAAAAAAGAGAGAAAGGGGCUGGAGAGAUGGCUCAGCGGUUAAGAGCACCCAACUGCUCUUCCAGAGGUCAUGAGUUCAAUUCCCAGCAACCACAUGGUGGCUCACAACUAUCUAUAAAGAGAUCAGAUGCCCUCUUCUGAUGUAUCUGAAGAUAGCUACAGUGUACUUAUAUAUAAUAAAUGAAUAAAUCUUUGAAAAAAAAGAGAGAAAAAGGAAGGAAGGAAGGAAGGAAAGAAAGAACGAACGAAAGAACUAGCCAGGCAGUGGUGAUGUGCACCUUUAAUCUCAGCUCUCAGGAGGCAGAGACAGGCAGAUCACUGAGUUUGAGAGCAGUCUGGUCCACACAGAGAAAUCUUGUCUCAAAAAACAAAAACAAAAUAUCAAAAGAAAAGAAAGAAAGAGACCACAGGUCUGGGAGAUUGAUAGGCGUGUAAAGAGGAAUUCAAUUAGAAGUUGGAGGGCCCGGGUCCCCAAAUUCAUGGCUUGAUGAAACUGUUAAGGCUUUCUUCUCACUGGGGAGAUUCCAGGAGCAGCAGGUUGCUGGGCUUUGUUUAUCCAUCCCUCUGGGGUGGCUUUGAAACCCUGAUAUAAAGCCCAAGAGAGUCCUGGGGAGUGGGACGUGUUGUAGAGGAAGGAUUGGGAACUAAGGCAGCUUGUAAUGGGAGUCAAACAGCCUGUCCAGCCUGCUGAUUUGCUGGGCGCUCCACUGAGAAGUGUCAGAAUAGUCUUCUUGGUGGCUUUGCAGUGUGUAAGAGCUCCCCGAGUUGGAAUCCAGAUGGCAUCUAGUAAGGUUGGAAUCUCAGGGGCAUAUUUAAGAGGGUAUUAUGGGCAAUGAAGAACUCCCCUCUCUCCAGGUGGCUGCAUGGGCAGAAGCAUGCCUAAAUGCUGUCUCAUUCGUGCCCCUAGCUGGAGAGCUCUAGUGAGAGCAAUGACUUCUCUCUGGGGGCUGAUAUACCAUUACCCACAAAGCACCCAUGUUUUAUCACCUUUGUGAAAUUCACUGUUGUAUUCUCAAAAAGUCUCUGUCCUACCUGCAUAAAUCCACUUCCGUGUGUGAAUGAAGUAGCCUCGGAAAGAGGAUCAUCCCGUAGGGCUCAUCUAUUACUGCAGGUGACAUGGAGACUCUCCACACAGAAAAGCUGCAGAGUCCUCAGGAUUAGCAUCUGGUGAGCUCCGGGGCUUGUUUUAUUUUAUUUUGUUUUUUGCUCUUUUGAGACAGGGUUUCUCUGUGUAGGCCUGGCUAUCCUGAAACUCUCUCUGUAGACCAGGCUGGCCUCAAACUCAGAAAUCCCCCUGCCUCUGCCUCCCGAGUGCUGGGACUAAAGUCUGGUACCGCCACCACCUGGUGAGCUCCGAGGUUUGUAAAAGAAGAGCUGCACCCUGCUCUCUAAGAGGAAGUCCAUCAUGCUGAGACUCUGGGGGCCCUGUGGAAGCCAUCUGACUCUUGAGAGAUUCAACUGUGUGAGGUCGUCAGAUAUGAGCCGGCCUUCCCUCAUACGAGAAAAAGGACAUUAUUGCUUCCAAGGGUUUCGCUCUUUGGUGACUGGACUUGACCCCAGAAGAGUCUCAGAAGCUUUGGACUCUGCCAGCAGAAAUAUCAGCUGAUCAAUAACCGGAAAGAAUUCUUUGACCUGAGGCCGUUAGUGCCUGCAGACUGAACUGGGUGGGCACUAGAUGGCGCUCUAGAAUUUCCUGAGACAGAAGAGCGGAUUAGUGUGACCAUAAACUGAAUCCGUUAUCUCUUUUCUGGCUUUCAGGGUCUCUGCUUAGUUAUUAAAAAAAACCUUGAAAGUGUGGAGUGUUGGUGGCCCACGCCUUUAAUCCCAUCACUCGGGAGGCAGAGGCGGUUGGGGCUCUGUGAGCUAGGGCUGUACAGAGAAACCCUGUUUCAACAAAACAAAUACCUCUAAAGCUGUCUUAAUAAAGUACGGAAGGGAUUUUAGGGUUCUUGAUCUAGCUAUUUGUCUGAGGUAGGAUCUCACUAUGUAGCUCUACUGGCCGGGAAUUCACAGAGAUCCACCUACCUCUGCCUCUUGAAUGCUGGGAUUGAAGAUAUGCACCGCUGUACUAUACCUGGCCCAAUCUGUCCUUUUGUUUGUUUUUGUUUGUUUUCCGGAGCUGAGGACCGAACCCAGGGCCUUGGGCUUGCUAGGCAAGCGCUCUACCACUGAGCUAAAUCCCCAACCCUGUUUAUUUGUUUUUUGAGAUAAGGUUUCUCUGUGUAAUCCAGGAUGUCCUGGAACUCACUCUGUAGACCAGGCUGGCCUCAAACUCACAAAGAUCUGCCUGCCUCUGCUUCCUGAAUGCUGGGGUUAAAGGUGUGUGCCCGUCACCGCCACAGUCACCACCACCCUCUGGUUUUGAUUUUUUUUUUUAUUUUUUAUUAUUAUUUUGUUUUUUGGUUCUUUUUUUCGGAGCUGGGGACCGAACCCAGGGCCUUGCGCUUCCUAGGUAAGCGCUCUACCACUGAGCUAAAUCCCCAGCCCCUUGAUUUUUUUUAUUUUUAUUUUUUAUUUUUUUAAAGUUUUUUUUUAAAGAUUUAUUUAUUCAUUUAUUAUAUAUGAGUACCCUGUAGCUGUCUUCAGAUACACCAGAAGAGGGCAUCGGAUCUCUUUACAGAUGGUUGUGAGCCACCAUGUGGUUGCUGGGAAUUGAACUCAGGACCUGGAAGAGCAGACAGUGCUCUUAACCACUGAGCCAUCUCUCCAGCCCAAUUUUAAAAAAAAAAAAAAUUUAUUUGUUAUGUUUACAGCAUUCUGCCUGCAUGUAUGCCUGUAGGCCAGAGAGGGCACCAGAUCUUAUUACAGAUGGUUGUGAGCCACCAUGUGGUUGCUGGGAAUUGAACUCAGGACCUCUGGAAGAGCAGACAGUGCUCUUAACCACUGAACCAUCUCUCCAGCCCUCCGUUUUUGAUUUUUAAAAAUUUGAUUUUGUAUGUAUAUGCCCUUUGUGUAUGCCUGGUACCCACAGAAGCCAGAAGCUGAGUGACAAACCACCAAGAACUGGAGUCACUAUGCCAGCAUGAUGUAGAUUUGGGGGAAGGAAGCUGCCCUGGGGAGGCAGAGGGAGGUAUUUUUCUCCUCUGGUUCAAGUGAGUCAGAUUUUGUGGUUCUCUUGGGAUGGGAACAGGGAUAAGCGGGGAGUGGAUAUGUCUUGAUAAAGAUAUUUUUAUUAUA
Rattus norvegicus (Norway rat) is the source of this 5170-nucleotide long non-coding RNA. RefSeq lists it as uncharacterized. The record is from RefSeq and is a predicted model, not a curated record. NCBI's taxonomy places the organism in Eukaryota, Metazoa, Chordata, Mammalia, Rodentia, Muridae.